AGAGUUUGAUCCUGGCUCAGAGUGAACGCUAGUGGCGUGCUUAACACAUGCAAGUCGAACGGACAAUAUUUGUGCCUGCACAAAUAAAGUUAGUGGCAAACGGGUGAGUAAUACAUGGGAAUUUUCCUUGUAGUAUGGAAUAACUAUUGGAAACAAUAGCUAAUACUGUAUAUUGCCGAGAGGUGAAAGAUUUAUCGCUACAAGAUAAGCCCAUGCAAGAUUAGCUAGUUGGUAAGGUAAUGGCUUACCAAGGCAACGAUCUUUAGCUGGUUUGAGAGAAUGAUCAGCCACACUGGAACUUAGACACGGUCCAGACUCCUACGGGAGGCAGCAGUGGGGAAUAUUGGACAAUGGGCGAAAGCCUGAUCCAGCGACGUCACGUGAAUGAUGAAGACCUUAGGGUUGUAAAAUUCUUUUAGUGGAGAAGAUAAUGACGGUAUCCACAGAAAAAGUCCCGGCUAACUUCGUGCCAGCAGCCGCGGUAAUACGAAGGGGCAAGCGUUACUCGGAAUUAUUGGGCGUAAAGCGUGCGUAGGCGGCUUUAUAAGUUGGAAGUGAAAGCCUUUGGCUCAACCAAAGAAUUGCUUACAAAACUGUAGAGCUAGAGUAUUAGAGAGGAUAGAAGAAUUUCUGAUGUAGCGGUGAAAUGCGUAGA
Molecule: ribosomal RNA, 655 nt
Filed under: uncultured bacterium
Lineage: Bacteria
Description: bacterial SSU rRNA
Rfam family: Bacterial small subunit ribosomal RNA
Source: RNAcentral